RNAcentral lists this ribosomal RNA (255 nucleotides) under Enterobacter cloacae. RNAcentral describes it as "partial 23S ribosomal RNA". It matches the Rfam family "Bacterial large subunit ribosomal RNA", at positions 2526 to 2780 of the family's 2925-position model. Lineage: Bacteria; Pseudomonadati; Pseudomonadota; Gammaproteobacteria; Enterobacterales; Enterobacteriaceae. The record is from RNAcentral.
UCGAUGUCGGCUCAUCACAUCCUGGGGCUGAAGUAGGUCCCAAGGGUAUGGCUGUUCGCCAUUUAAAGUGGUACGCGAGCUGGGUUUAGAACGUCGUGAGACAGUUCGGUCCCUAUCUGCCGUGGGCGCUGGAGAAUUGAGGGGGGCUGCUCCUAGUACGAGAGGACCGGAGUGGACGCAUCACUGGUGUUCGGGUUGUCAUGCCAAUGGCACUGCCCGGUAGCUAAAUGCGGAAGAGAUAAGUUCUGAAAGCAU